GACGCCGGUGCGUGCGCGCUGCGGGAGGCCGGCCGGGAACCCGGAGCCCAAGUCGGAGCCCGAGCGGGAGCGGCGGCCCCUCGGCGGAGCCGGGUCUCAGCCACUGCAGCAGGCAUCAUGGCCGUGGACGUGGCGGAAUACCACCUGAGCGUCAUCAAGAGUCCCCCUGACUGGGAGGUCGGUGUCUAUGCUGCCGGGGCCCUGGCGCUGCUGGCAAUUGCAGCCGUGAGCCUGUGGAAGCUCUGGACAUCCGGGAGCUUCCCUAGCCCCUCCCCGUUCCCAAACUACGACUACCGGUACCUUCAGCAGAAGUAUGGCGAGACCUACACAGAGGCCAGG
Molecule: non-coding RNA, 339 nt
Organism: Ceratotherium simum simum (southern white rhinoceros)
Lineage: Eukaryota; Metazoa; Chordata; Mammalia; Perissodactyla; Rhinocerotidae
Source: RefSeq, a predicted model, not a curated record